This 888-nucleotide ribosomal RNA is filed under the name Pseudomonas aeruginosa. RNAcentral's name for it is "bacterial SSU rRNA". It matches the Rfam family "Bacterial small subunit ribosomal RNA", at positions 26 to 910 of the family's 1533-position model. Lineage: Bacteria; Pseudomonadati; Pseudomonadota; Gammaproteobacteria; Pseudomonadales; Pseudomonadaceae. The record is from RNAcentral.
AGAUGGAACGCUGGCGGCAGGCCUAACACAUGCAAGUCGAGCGGAUGAAGGGAGCUUGCUCCUGGAUUCAGCGGCGGACGGGUGAGUAAUGCCUAGGAAUCUGCCUGGUAGUGGGGGAUAACGUCCGGAAACGGGCGCUAUUACCGCAUACGUCCUGAGGGAGAAAGUGGGGGAUCUUCGGACCUCACGCUAUCAGAUGAGUCUAGGUCGGAUUAGCUAGUUGGUGGGGUAAAGGCCUACUAAGGCGACGAUCCGUAACUGGUCUGAGAGGAUGAUCAGUCACACUGCAACUGAGACACGGUCCAGACUCCUACGGGAGGCAGCAGUGGGGAAUAUUGGACAAUGGGCGAAAGCCUGAUCCAGCCAUGCCGCGUGUGUGAAGAAGGUCUUCGGAUUGUAAAGCACUUUAAGUUGGGAGGAAGGGCAGUAAGUUAAUACCUUGCUGUUUUGACGUUACCAACAGAAUAAGCACCGGCUAACUUCGUGCGAGCAGCCGCGGUAAUACGAAGGGUGCAAGCGUUAAUCGGAAUUACUGGGCGUAAAGCGCGCGUAGGUGGUUCAGCAAGUUGGAUGUGAAAUCCCCGGGCUCAACCUGGGAACUGCAUCCAUAACUACUGAGCUAGAGUACGGUAGAGGGUGGUGGAAUUUCCUGUGUAGCGGUGAAAUGCGUAGAUAUAGGAAGGAACACCAGUGGCGAAGGCGACCACCUGGACUGAUACUGACACUGAGGUGCGAAAGCGUGGGGAGCAAACACGAUUAGAUACCCUGGUAGUCCACGCCGUAAACGAUGUCGACUAGCCGUUGGGAUCCUUGAGAUCUUAGUGGAGCAGCUAACGCGAUAAGUCGACGCCUGGGGAGUACGGCCGCAAGGUUAAAACUCAAAUGAUU